This 254-nucleotide ribosomal RNA is filed under the name uncultured bacterium. RNAcentral's name for it is "partial 16S ribosomal RNA". It matches the Rfam family "Bacterial small subunit ribosomal RNA", at positions 524 to 776 of the family's 1533-position model. The record is from RNAcentral.
UACGUAGGGUCCGAGCGUUGUCCGGAAUUACUGGGCGUAAAGAGCUCGUAGGUGGUUUGUCGCGUUGUUCGUGAAAACUCACAGCUCAACUGUGGGCGUGCGGGCGAUACGGGCAGACUAGAGUACUGCAGGGGAGACUGGAAUUCCUGGUGUAGCGGUGGAAUGCGCAGAUAUCAGGAGGAACACCGGUGGCGAAGGCGGGUCUCUGGGCCACUACUGACGCUGAGAAGCGAAAGCGUGGGGGAGCGAACAGG